GCCGGCGUAGCUCAGUGGUAGAGCAGGACUUUUGUAAAGUUCAGGCCGUCAGUUCGAUCCUGACCGCCGGCU
Molecule: transfer RNA, 72 nt
Filed under: Candidatus Meridianibacter frigidus
Lineage: Bacteria; Bacillati; Vulcanimicrobiota; Vulcanimicrobiia; Vulcanimicrobiales; Vulcanimicrobiaceae
Description: tRNA-Thr
Rfam family: tRNA
About the family: Transfer RNA (tRNA) molecules are approximately 80 nucleotides in length. Their secondary structure includes four short double-helical elements and three loops (D, anti-codon, and T loops).
Source: RNAcentral